This 271-nucleotide long non-coding RNA is filed under the name Lathyrus oleraceus (garden pea). Its description in RNAcentral is "Pisum sativum (pea) long non-coding RNA (PSAT_LNC011857)". Lineage: Eukaryota; Viridiplantae; Streptophyta; Magnoliopsida; Fabales; Fabaceae. The record is from RNAcentral.
UCAUAAUGAACCUUUCAGAGUUGCCUAGAGGUUGCUGCAGAUUAAUUCUCACUCUCUCUGUCUAGGUUUCUCUUCAGGUUUUGUCCAAGGAAACCUCAGAGUGUUUUGCUUCUCUUCCUUUUUCUGUCUGUUCUCCCUUUUUUAUAACCUGAUUUUCAUGGCUUUGUGGGCUCAAAUGAGAGAGGUCCAAGUCUGAGAUUUUUUCUUUUAUUUAUUUAUUUAUUUAUUUAUUUUAUUUAUUUAUUUAAUUUUUUUUUUGUUUUUGUUUUUG